UACGGGAGGCAGCAGUGGGGAAUAUUGCACAAUGGGCGCAAGCCUGAUGCAGCCAUGCCGCGUGUAUGAAGAAGGCCUUCGGGUUGUAAAGUACUUUCAGUCGUGAGGAAGGUGUUAAGGUUAAUAACCUUAGCAAUUGACGUUAGCGACAGAAGAAGCACCGGCUAACUCCGUGCCAGCAGCCGCGGUAAUACGGAGGGUGCGAGCGUUAAUCGGAAUUACUGGGCGUAAAGGGCACGCAGGCGGUUAAUUAAGUUGGAUGUGAAAUCCCCGGGCUUAACCUGGGAAUGGCAUUCAAGACUGGUUAGCUAGAGUCUUGUAGAGGGGGUAGAAUUCCAUGUGUAGCGGUGAAAUGCGUAGAGAUGUGGAGGAAUACCGGUGGCGAAGGCGGCCCCUGGGACAAGACUGACGCUCAUGUGCGAAAGCGUGGGGAGCAAACGAGGGAUUAGAUA
Molecule: ribosomal RNA, 452 nt
Filed under: uncultured bacterium
Lineage: Bacteria
Description: bacterial SSU rRNA
Rfam family: Bacterial small subunit ribosomal RNA
Source: RNAcentral